UACAGAGGUGGCAAGCGUUGCUCGGUAUCACUGGGCUUAAAGGGCGCGUAGGCGGUGCGGUACGGUUUCGGUGAAAUCCCUCGGCCCAACCGAGGAACAGCCGGGGCUACGGCCGCGCUAGACGGCAUCAGGGGACAGUGGAACUCCCGGUGGAGCGGUGAAAUGCGUAGAUAUCGGGAGGAACACCAAUGGCGAAGGCAGCUCGCUGGGACGUGACUGACGCUGAGACGCGAAAGCGUGGGGAGCAAACAGG
RNAcentral lists this ribosomal RNA (253 nucleotides) under uncultured bacterium. Its description in RNAcentral is "partial 16S ribosomal RNA". It matches the Rfam family "Bacterial small subunit ribosomal RNA", at positions 524 to 776 of the family's 1533-position model. The record is from RNAcentral.